This 91-nucleotide small nucleolar RNA is filed under the name Canis lupus dingo (dingo). RNAcentral's name for it is "Small nucleolar RNA SNORD14 (ENSCAFG00020005834.1)". The record is from RNAcentral. Lineage: Eukaryota; Metazoa; Chordata; Mammalia; Carnivora; Canidae.
UUACAGUAAUGAAUGGUCCAAACAUCUGACAUUUACACCAGAAUUUUAGAUGUGCUGGCAACUAACUUUCCUUCCUUGGAUGUCUGAGCGA